RNAcentral lists this ribosomal RNA (407 nucleotides) under uncultured bacterium. RNAcentral's name for it is "partial 16S ribosomal RNA". It matches the Rfam family "Bacterial small subunit ribosomal RNA", at positions 28 to 526 of the family's 1533-position model. The record is from RNAcentral.
GAUGAACGCUAGCUAUAGGCUUAACACAUGCAAGUCGAGGGACCGGCGCACGGGUGAGUAACGCGUAUCCAACCUGCCCAUAACUAAGGGAUAACCCAGCGAAAGUUGGACUAAUACCUUAUGGUUAUGGAUGGGGAUGCGUCUGAUUAGCUUGUUGGCGGGGUAACGGCCCACCAAGGCAACGAUCCGUAGGGGUUCUGAGAGGAAGGUCCCCCAGAUUGGAACAGAGGCACGGUCCAAUAUGCGACGGGGGACAGGAGUGAGGAAUAUUGGGCAAGGGACGCAAGUCUGAACCAGCCGAGUAGCGUGCAGGAUGACGGCGUAUGAGUGGUAAACUGCUUUUAUAUGGGGAUAGGUACCAUAUGAAUAAGGACCGGCUAAUUCCGUGCCAGCAGCCGCGGUAAUUC